RNAcentral lists this unclassified non-coding RNA (228 nucleotides) under uncultured fungus. RNAcentral describes it as "sequence contains ITS1, 5.8S rRNA gene". The stretch from base 180 to 228 matches the Rfam family "5.8S ribosomal RNA", at positions 1 to 49 of the family's 154-position model. The record is from RNAcentral. Lineage: Eukaryota; Fungi.
UUUCCGUAGGUGAACCUGCGGAGGGAUCAUUACUGAGUGAGGGCUUCGGUCCGACCUCCAACCCUUUGUGUAUCUCGACCCUGUUGCCUCGGGGGCGACCCGGCCUUCGGGCGUCGGGGCCCCCGGUGGACCACCCAACCCUGCAUCGUUGCGUCUGAGUCGAAAUAUAAAUCAAUCAAAACUUUCAACAACGGAUCUCUUGGUUCUGGCAUCGAUGAAGAACGCAGC